AAGAGAUUGAUUGGGAAAGUUGAGGCAGAAAUGCAGUUGAAAACUGGGUCUAUUGACACUGUAAUUGCUGAAACUAAAUGUGUCCAAGCAGCAGCUCUUGUUGUGCAGGGAAUAACUCCUGUCAGCAGCAAGGCCCCCACUGAAGUGGCAGCUGCAGUUGUUCCUGUGGUGUGGGCCAGUGGAGCUGCAGGAGAGUGGAAGAGGGCAGAACCUGUAGGUAUUACCCCUGAUGUGGGAUCUCUAUGGGACGUGAAUGCAAGAACCUGCCAAGAAAACCAGUGGACAAGAUGAUUGAUUAGUGCAGGACCUGAGAGAAGCACCUUGAAUGACAACCUGGAGGAGUUUCCAGUAUUGGAUUUAAAAGAUGGCCUUUGCAUCUCCUUGAGCGAGGAAAGCCAAGAAAGCUUUGCUUUUGCAGGAGAAAAUGGGGCAAGCAGGCAGGAAGAAGAGAAGCCCCGUGACUCCUCCCUGAGCCCCAGACAGCCCAUGAACUGCCUUGCUGGGAAUGGUGGGACGGGCUGGACUCUGCAUUGCUCCCUCGGGAUGUGUGGCUCUCCCCUCAGGAACUGCAGGAACUCCUGGUGCCGCCUGGGCCGAUGGAUUGGACGCCCCAGCCCCUCCGUUCCUGCCCAGCCACUGGGGCCGUGUCCAGUGGUGGCACUGCCAGCCCUGCAGGUGAAGUGGGAAGGGCCUUUGCAGGUCUUGUGGGUCACAUUUAUAGCAGGUAAAGUUGCAGAAAAAGGACCUGGGGUCUGUUAUUCUUGAGUUCAGAAAGCUCCUUUUGGUUGGUGAGCAGGACAAAGUG
Long non-coding RNA from Manacus vitellinus (golden-collared manakin), 805 nucleotides. RefSeq lists it as uncharacterized. Lineage: Eukaryota; Metazoa; Chordata; Aves; Passeriformes; Pipridae. The transcript is spliced from 3 exons. The record is from RefSeq and is a predicted model, not a curated record.